Long non-coding RNA from Hypanus sabinus (Atlantic stingray), 1569 nucleotides. RefSeq lists it as uncharacterized. The transcript has 3 exons. The record is from RefSeq and is a predicted model, not a curated record. Lineage: Eukaryota; Metazoa; Chordata; Chondrichthyes; Myliobatiformes; Dasyatidae.
GCGACUUUGCUGAGCAAUUGCUCAAACCUCUGUGCUACCCCGCCUUCCCGCGUGAAAGCAGAUCCCAGCCUCAGUGAAGAUGGCUCAUGACCUGCUGAGUUCCUCCAGCAUUUUUUGUGUGUUACACAAAUCCUUAUGAUGUCCGCAAGAGAAGACAGAUGGAGCCUGUCCAAGCAAUGACAUCUUCAAUACAGCAGGAGUCUCUCUCUAAGCUACGUGUAUCCUUAUUGUUUUGGGAGCAUCUGAGGCUGAGCUCCAUCUGUUAAUGGAAAUGAAAACAAGAAAAGGCUGAAAACACUCAGGGGGUCAGGCAACAUCUGUGGAAAGAGAAACAUUUAUCAUUUCAGAUCCUCAACUCACUGGCACACUCUCAUCCUGCACUGGUCUCCUCUCAUCCUUUUUGCUGCUGCUUCGCGGCAACCGCAUACAAGCCCGAUUAACCCUAACCUAAUCCUGAGACAGUUUACAAUGAUCAGUUCCCAGUACGUCUUGGGACUGAGGGAGGAAAACGGAGGACCUGGAGAAGACAUAUACAUUCCAUGCAGGGGACGUACAGAUACUACUUACAGAACAGUGCCAGAACUGAACUUUAAACUCGGGAAUGCCUCGACCUGUAAUAGUGUUGCACUAACUGUAACACUACUGUGGUGCCCAUGUGCAUGCUGAUUAUAACUAUAUGCACUCUAUUGACUAUAUAUACUGUGUGUUUGCACCUUGGCAACAGAGGAUCAAUGUUUCAUUUAGCUGUAUACAUGUGUAUGGUUGAAUAUCAAUAAACUUGAACUGAGAGGGUGAAAAUUCUGAAAGGUUUGAGUGGGGACGAGUGGAAUAACUCUAUUAUUGUAAAGCCAGUGAUACCCUGAGGAUUAACUACAAAUAAAGCCAUCUAGUAGAUAGUACAGUACUGUGCAAAAGACUUAGACAACUAUAUAUAGCUAAGAUGCCUAAGACAUUUGCACAGUUCUGUAGUAAUUUUAUGUAUUACACCAUACUUCCGUCACACAAAAAAAAAUUCAUGUCAUAUGUGAGUGAUGAUAAACCUGGUUCUGAUAUGGGUCUCUAUUGUGGACUGAGAAUGGGAAGGGGACAGGGAAAGGGGGGUCAUGGUUUGGAAAAGGGGAGGGGAGAGGGGAAGGAGUGGGAAGCACCAGACAGGCAUUCUGUAAUGAUCAGUAAGCCAAUUGUACUGAAUCAGAUGACCUUGCCCGAUGAAUCAUGAUUAGGUGUGUCUGUACCCGCAGCACCCUCCGUCCCUGGCACUCCUUCCCUACCACCUGUCCCACACCCUCUCGUGGCACUCCACCCUUGCCAUUCCCAACAUUCUUUGCUCCUGCCAGAUUUACAAACUCAUUCUCCACUCCACAUUGACAAAUACAGUAUAGUGCAAGAGUGUUAGGCACCCUACCUAUAUAAAUGGAUGAGAUUGGACGACUCAUAUAUAUACAUACGUGUUAGCUUUUCCACAGUAAUGUAGAUUUGGCCUGUUCCCCUAAAUCCUCACCAAUUUUUAUCGAUACACCAUUGAAAACACCUUAUCCGGACUGUAGUAGGGGGAAGUACAUUCAUAGU